Molecule: ribosomal RNA, 872 nt
Filed under: Gyromitra esculenta
Lineage: Eukaryota; Fungi; Ascomycota; Pezizomycetes; Pezizales; Discinaceae
Description: partial 28S ribosomal RNA
Rfam family: Eukaryotic large subunit ribosomal RNA
Source: RNAcentral
UUGCCUCAGUAACGGCGAGUGAAGCGGCAACAGCUCAAAUUUUAAAGCUGACGUCUUUGGCGUCCGCGUUGUAAUUUGGAGAGGCAUCUUCGGUUUGGGCGCCAGCCUAUGUUCCUUGGAACAGGACGUCACAGAGGGUGAGAAUCCCGUGCCUGGCUGGCUGUCCCUUUCCAUGUGAAGUGCCUUCGACGAGUCGAGUUGUUUGGGAAUGCAGCUCAAAAUGGGUGGUAAAUUUCAUCUAAAGCUAAAUAUUGGCGGGAGACCGAUAGCGCACAAGUAGAGUGAUCGAAAGAUGAAAAGCACUUUGAAAAUAGAGUUAAAAAGUACGUGAAAUUGUUGAAAGGGAAGCGCUUGAGACCAGACUCGGCCGGAGAUGAUCAGCCGUCCUUCUGGGCGGUGCACUCGUUUCCGGCCGGGCCAGCAUCGGUUGAGACGGCGGGAUAAAGGCCCGGGGAAUGUGGCUCCUUUCGGGGAGUGUUAUAGCCCCGGGCGCAAUGCCGCCAGCCUCGACCGAGGACCGCGCUUCAUUGCUAGGAUGCUGGCGUAAUGGUCUUCAGCGACCCGUCUUGAAACACGGACCAAGGAGUCUAACAUCUAUGCGAGUGUUUGGGUGUCAAACCCUUGCGCGUAAUGAAAGUGAACGGAGGUGGGAACCCCUCGCGGGGCGCACCAUCGACCGGUCCUGAUGUCUUCGGAUGGAUCUGAGUAGGAGCAUAGCUGUUGGGACCCGAAAGAUGGUGAACUAUGCCUGAAUAGGGUGAAGCCAGAGGAAACUCUGGUGGAGGCUCGCAGCGGUUCUGACGUGCAAAUCGAUCGUCAAAUUUGGGUAUAGGGGCGAAAGACUAAUCGAACCAUCUAGUAGCUGGUUCCUG